Small nucleolar RNA from Hibiscus syriacus, 102 nucleotides. NCBI's taxonomy places the organism in Eukaryota, Viridiplantae, Streptophyta, Magnoliopsida, Malvales, Malvaceae. The record is from RefSeq and is a predicted model, not a curated record.
AUGCAUUGGACAUUUCCUCAGCAAUUCUUUGAAUCUCUCCCAAGCCUCAUAAAAACUUUAAUCCUCUAUUUGCUUGAAUGAAGUCAGAUCGUUUCGUAGCUU